UACGUAGGGUGCGAGCGUUAAUCGGAAUUACUGGGCGUAAAGCGUGCGCAGGCGGCGCGUUAAGACAGGUGUGAAAGCCCCGAGCUUAACUUGGGAAUUGCGCUUGUGACUGGCGUGCUGGAGUGUGGCAGAGGGAGGUGGAAUUCCACGUGUAGCAGUGAAAUGCGUAGAGAUGUGGAGGAACACCGAUGGCGAAGGCAGCCUCCUGGGCCAGCACUGACGCUCAUGCACGAAAGCGUGGGAAGCAAACAGG
Molecule: ribosomal RNA, 253 nt
Filed under: uncultured bacterium
Lineage: Bacteria
Description: partial 16S ribosomal RNA
Rfam family: Bacterial small subunit ribosomal RNA
Source: RNAcentral